AAAGCUCACAAAAAUGUUGAUAUGUAGCAUGACUAACACAGUGCAAAUGUCAGCCCUGGUCUGUGAUUAGGGGCUCUCCCUCUGCUAGCAACAAGCUGGCUCCCUUUUAAGGCAACACUAUACAAGAGGCACAAUGCAUGAAUUCCAACGUGGAACGCUAAUUGUUCCCCAUUCGCUGCUGUUAAUUGCUCGGAUGAAAUGCUUCAGUACACUGGGCUGGAGCCCACAUGAUUUUCAAAUUGAACUGGAAAUUAAAAGCUGACACCAGAAAAUAGAACGAGCUAAUAGAAGUCGAGAAGAGAAUCAUGUUACCUAACCAGAGAGAGAGGGAUACUACAUCGACCUUUCAACCUGGUCUGCAAGGGACUCUGUGAAGCUAGUAGCUGGCUAGAAAGGGACAGCACCUUUCAACAUGCUAGAUUUUGUGGUAUUCAUGUAAAACAGCUUCAUCAGAUUAAUACACGUGGACACUUUGACCUUCGCUGCAUUGGACUCCAGUGUGUGUGUGCUUCCUUUUUAAAGAGAUCAGGGUGAGAAGAUGAAUGAGACGGAGCCUGCAUUCACCAACAUUUCCUCAGAGCAGUUCCCAGGCACUCUGGGAGUAGUCGAUACAUACAGUUGCUUCUGUAUCCUUUGGGGUAUAUUUGUGGAGCUCCAUCGACCGCAAUGCCAAUUUACACCCAGGGGAAAUUUGGCACUGUCGGUGAAAUCCUGGCUCCAUUGGAAUCAGCGGGAGUUUUAGGCAGGAUUUCACCUUAUAUGUCCAAAGCCCCAAUCUACAGAGGGUGAAAAGAGAGUGGCUGACCAGGAAAGCUACAAAGCAAGGGAUUGAGUUAACAACCUAUCCCCUGUAGAAGAACAUGGUUUUCUUAUCAGUACCACUGGGGAACGGUGUCCUCCCAAACUCAGUGCAAGGCCGCUGACUGUGUUUACACACCUGCCUUUGCAAUCAAAGCACAGGAUCGUCUUGGGAACUUCACAGAAGCCACUCAUCUCCUCUAUGCAAAGUGGUGUGAAAAGCAGGGUUUACUAUUGACUCCCUGUCUUUCCUCCCCAUCCUUCCUAAGGACAGAUCCUUCCUCUUCCCCCAAAUAUCCAUGGCCCCCGGUAAGCCUGCACCCAGCCUGUGCCGUUAUCUAGUGCAGAAAAACCAGCUAGUAUAGAGGAAUCACUUUGCCCAUCACUGAAGUGCCGCCAUCUCUGGAGUGAAACCCAGCAACACUACAAGGUAUCGCUUUAUAAAGGCAAAUAGGGUGGCUCCAGUAGCCAAGAAUUCCUUCCAUGGGGUUCAUAGCUCACCUUUGUGUGACACCCCAGGAUCACUGUGGUUAGCAAGAAGUUGCCUGGCUUGCCUAUGCCAGAGAAACUUGAUUUACCAUUCCCAGUUUGGUGCCUCUUGCAUGCAUGUAACCCACUACUUUUCCAUUUGCUAACGUUCCCAGUGGUGCACACAGGCAAUCAUGCAACUCUUUAGAUUAGCCUUGCCCUAAUCAAAACUAACUGCUGUGUGGUUCUCCCUUGUGGCAGUCUCCUCUGGUGCAGAGCCAGCUCUUCUCCUAGGCAGCGUUAUUGUGCCAGGUCUGGGGACUAAGCUCAAUCAUUAAAGUGCGACACAGCAGGAUUGUGGUGCUGCUCUAAAUGCAAACUUCAGCGCAACCUAAACUACUGUGGUGCGAGUGACACUUCCAUAAUAUAUGUGCUUGGAUGGCAGCUUUCACCUGGAUGCACUUUACGGACUGAUUGCACAUGCUAUAUAGGCGCCAUAAUUCUUCCCUCAGCAACCUAGUGAGGUAUCACCUGUGGCUGGCUCCACCUUCUCCUUUGGGGUGAUGUGUGUGGCCCUUGCACAAGUUUUCAGGUGUGGGGGGGUGGCUCCUUCCUUCCUUCCCACCUAGCUUCCCACAAGGGCCACUGACAUUCUGGCAUAUGGUAUAUAGGACUCACUUCGCCCAUCAUUAAAAUGCAGCCACCUCUGGAGUGAAACCCAGCAAUGGCUUCACACCACACAGCAAUGUUAGGAGUAGGGUGACUAGAUAGAAAGUGUGAAAAAUCAGGACAGGGGAUGGGGGGGUAAUAGAUGCCUAUAUCACAAAAAGCUCCAAAUAUCAGGACUGUCCCUAUAAAAUCGGGACAUCUAGUCACCCUAGUUCUGAGGCAGUUUAGUACAGGAGGUGAAGAACAGGUUAUCCAUUUGAAACUAGCAAUGCAGACCAGACCAGAGGAUAAAGUCACAGGCUGGGCCUAAGGGAGCCUACAGGUGGGGGAAGGGCAUAUGUUCCUGUUUUGCAGCACUUGGCUGCAGCAGUGAAUGUUUGUAUACUUUGGAAGAAGGGUGGUGAAAGCAAGAUCAGAUGGGCGAGUGCAUCUCACUGGGCAUAUCCGUGUUACUUAUGAUUGUCUCUAGAUUGGAUAAUUGAGGCCAUUAAAGGAACUUACCCUGUGGUCAGAUACUCCAUUUUAGCCAAUUACAGUCCUGGCUGUGUGUGCAGCCGAUCAGCCAAGGAGGGUUGCUAGUACCUCCAGGAAGUAUUCCUGGAGGUUUCAUCACAAGGCAUAAUCUCUCAUUAAAGAUUAAUCUGUAAUUCCUGGAGACUCCAGGGCAAUCUUGGAUGGUUGGCAACCCUACAGCCAAGAUUCAAACCAAGACUUUGAUGAGUCACUGAGAGCUGCUAUACCAGGUGGAAGUCUUCCUGGAAACUCAGCUGGUAGUAAGUGUGCUAAGUAUCACUUUGCUGGAAGCUGAUCUUGCAUUUAUCAGAGAGAAAGGAAGGCAGAACACAGAUCAUGUUUGAGCAUAUAUGAUCAUCAGUGAAUACAGUGCAUAUGACUGCGGAGAAAUCCUAAGAAAAAACAUUCAUUUCUGGCUAUGUGGGAGUGCAGGUGAUGGCAAAUUCCCUGACACAUUUGUACUGUAGCAGGGGUGAGCAAGUCCCUACAGUCAUUAAAAUGAGCACACCCAUUCCUUAAGGCAAGUCUACUCACAAAUAUGCGGUUUGCAUUAUAAAGGGAUUUAUUCCAAAGAAAGGCUCCAGGGUGAAAAAGUACUGCUGUGUGUCUCUUUUUAAAAAAAAAUUCUUUGUAAAUGCAAAUUGAAUGCUUGUAAGUCAAUAUCUGCUCUUGUGAUAUUGGCAUGCACUGAAAUAGUUUCUCAACAAAAACAUAUUGUAACACAGCUGCUCCUGGAUCUGGCUAGUUGAGAAGUACUCAGCUCCAAUUGUGAAACUCCAUUAAAACUGUAUUUGUUUAAAGCC
Molecule: long non-coding RNA, 3251 nt
Organism: Trachemys scripta elegans
Lineage: Eukaryota; Metazoa; Chordata; Testudines; Emydidae
Exons: 2
Source: RefSeq, a predicted model, not a curated record